Molecule: transfer-messenger RNA, 348 nt
Filed under: Clostridiales bacterium
Lineage: Bacteria; Bacillati; Bacillota; Clostridia; Eubacteriales
Also listed under: 2 other names
Rfam family: transfer-messenger RNA
About the family: Bacterial tmRNA, also known as 10Sa RNA or SsrA, is named for its dual tRNA and mRNA-like properties. Its role is to liberate the mRNA from a stalled ribosome.
Source: RNAcentral
GGGGGCGUAAAGGUUUCGACGGGGAUUGUGAGCUUGGGUAAGCGAGCAGCGGUGCGGGCCCGCUAUAAAAUCCGCAAUUAAAAAUAAACGACAACAAUACUGUUGCUCUCGCAGCCUAAAUAAGGCUGCCGUCCUUACCCGGAGUACCGCGGCCGGGAUAAGGGCGUGGAUUAGCGGUGAACGUGAAUAAAGGGAAGCCGUGCCCUUUAUCACGCAUUAAACGGCUACCGUAGCCGGAAGCCUGUCUGUUGGCGUCCGGUGAGGGGAAUCACAGUAAACAGACUGCGCUCGGAGAAGACCCAGGCAGGCAGUUUUCGGACGGGGGUUCGACUCCCCCCGCCUCCACCA